RNAcentral lists this ribosomal RNA (492 nucleotides) under uncultured bacterium. RNAcentral's name for it is "partial 16S ribosomal RNA". It matches the Rfam family "Bacterial small subunit ribosomal RNA", at positions 29 to 507 of the family's 1533-position model. The record is from RNAcentral.
AGUGAACGCUGGCGGUAGGCCUAACACAUGCAAGUCGAACGGCAGCACAGUAAGAGCUUGCUCUUACGGGUGGCGAGUGGCGGACGGGUGAGGAAUACAUCGGAAUCUACUUUUUCGUGGGGGAUAACGUAGGGAAACUUACGCUAAUACCGCAUACGACCUACGGGUGAAAGCAGGGGAUCUUCGGACCUUGCGCGAUUGAAUGAGCCGAUGUCGGAUUAGCUAGUUGGCGGGGUAAAGGCCCACCAAGGCGACGAUCCGUAGCUGGUCUGAGAGGAUGAUCAGCCACAUUGGAACUGAGACACGGUCCAGACUCCUACGGGAGGCAGCAGUGGGGAAUAUUGGACAAUGGGCGCAAGCCUGAUCCAGCCAUACUGCGUGGGUGAAGAAGGCCUUCGGGUUGUAAAGCCCUUUUGUUGGGAAAGAAAAGCAGCAGGUUAAUACCCCGCUGUUCUGACGGUACCCAAAGAAUAAGCACCGGCUAACUUCGUG